Molecule: long non-coding RNA, 322 nt
Filed under: Androctonus crassicauda
Lineage: Eukaryota; Metazoa; Arthropoda; Arachnida; Scorpiones; Buthidae
Source: RNAcentral
CAUUGAUUGGCUGACACCUUUAUCGUGGGCAAUUGACCAGGUGGAGACAUGUGGAUUUGCUGCAACAGCAGCCAGUACAUCAACUGUUACAUCAUCCACUUCAACUGUGCGCAGUCUUCUCUAUGUCAUAAUGCUUCUAGUGGUUUUUAUUUGGGUCGCCAAACAUAUGAAAACUCCUCUUUGAAAAUGUCGCCGGUUGGGAAAGUGCUGAGCAUACAAGUUAGCUGCUCGCAUAGCAUUUUGACGACACUCACCGUAAAUCAUUAGCAUACCAAAGGCUUCUUCUUUGAAGUACAACAUUGUUCAAAUGCUUCUGCUGGAC